This is a non-coding RNA of Carica papaya (papaya), 645 nucleotides long. The record is from RefSeq and is a predicted model, not a curated record. NCBI's taxonomy places the organism in Eukaryota, Viridiplantae, Streptophyta, Magnoliopsida, Brassicales, Caricaceae.
UACGCCCCCGCGGCACUGCAACUCAUCGCCCACAGCCACAGACUGCACAAACACUUACCUUCAAUAUCUCUCUCUCUCUCUCUCUUUCCCGCCCAUGUCUCGGGGAACAGACCGUCUCGUGAAGAGCUUGAAGCAGUUCGCAGAUGUUCAGUACAAGUUUUUCACUGCUCGUUAUGGCCAACAACUGAUUGACAUUUUUGAAUUUCCAAUCAAGCUAGUCUUGUCACCUUUCACCCUCGCUUUUGACAUCGCUGGCUCUGCUCCUCGCGGGUUUGGCGUCCCCGAACUGAUCUCCAAAAUAUCUUGCGCUUCAAUCUUCGAACUGUAAAACUUGCAAUGGAUGGCAGGCACUGCGGUGUACCAUGUGCAGAGGAUCUGGAAAGGUCCAUUACCAAAUCAAGAAUUAUACAUUGAGAAGAAAUAACACUGGAGGAAACAGAGUCUAUAUUGUAGAUUGGCUGCCGACUUAAAGCCUAAAGUUUUUUGGUUGAGCUGUUAGUAUUUUCUUGACCUAAAGGGGCUUUAUUUUAGAGGAUUUGUGGACCCUAUUUUCAGUAACAGUCAUUUGGAACAGAAUAUUCUUUAUUGCGUUUCAUGCUCUCUAGGUCGAAUAUACACUGAUUAGUUGGUCAUUCUUUAAACUUU